GAUGAAGAACGUAGCGAAAUGCGAUAAGUAAUGUGAAUUGCAGAAUUCAGUGAAUCAUCGAAUCUUUGAACGCACAUUGCGCCCGCCAGUAUUCUGGCGGGCAUGCCUGUCUGAGCGUCAUUUCAACCCUCAUGCCCCUAGGGCGUGGUGUUGGGGAUCGGCCAAAGCCCGCGAGGGACGGCCGGCCCCUAAAUCUAGUGGCGGACCCGUCGUGGCCUCCUCUGCGAAGUAGUGAUAUUCCGCAUCGGAGAGCGACGAGCCCCUGCCGUUAAACCCCCAACUUUCCAAGGUUGACCUCAGAUCAGGUAGGAAUACCCGCUGAACUUAAGCAUAUCAAUAAGCGGAG
Molecule: unclassified non-coding RNA, 346 nt
Filed under: soil metagenome
Description: partial contains 5.8S ribosomal RNA, internal transcribed spacer 2, and large subunit ribosomal RNA
Rfam family: 5.8S ribosomal RNA (bases 1-120)
Source: RNAcentral